Molecule: ribosomal RNA, 305 nt
Filed under: uncultured bacterium
Lineage: Bacteria
Description: bacterial SSU rRNA
Rfam family: Bacterial small subunit ribosomal RNA
Source: RNAcentral
UCCAGCCUACGGGGCGCAGCAGUGAGGAAUAUUGGUCAAUGGGAGAGAUCCUGAACCAGCCAAGCCGCGUGAGGGAAGACGGCCCUAUGGGUUGUAAACCUCUUUUGUCGGAGAACAAAACCCGGGACGUGUCCCGGACUGCGUGUAUCCGAAGAAAAAGCAUCGGCUAACUCCGUGCUAGCAGCCGCGGUAAUACGGAGGAUGCGAGCGUUAUUCGGAUUUAUUGGGUUUAAAGGGUGCGUAGGCGGACUGGAAAGUCAGCGGUAAAAUCGAGAGGCUCAACCUCUUUCCGCCGUUGAACCUGU